UAGCGUAAUCACUUGUCUCUUAAAUGGGGACUCGUAUGAAUGGCCAACUGAGAGCCCAACUGUCUCCUACAACUAACCAAUGAAACUGAUCUUUCAGUACAAAAGCUGAAAUACUACCACAAGACGAAAAGACCCUGUGGAGCUUUAAACCUACAACUAUACAAAUUUACUCACACCCCGAAAGAUAUAACAAAUUUGUCCUAAUAGCUUUAAUUUUAAGUUGGGGCGACUACGGAGAAAAACAGAACCUCCAUGAAAUAGAUUACAACUCUAUUACACGGCUUACAAGCCAAAUAUUCUUAACACUGACCCAGUAAUACUGAAAAUCGGACCAAGUUACCCCAGGGAUAACAGCGCCAUCCUCCUCGAGAGUCCAUAUCGCCAGUGGGGUUUACGACCGCGAUGUUGGAUCAGGACACCC
This 421-nucleotide ribosomal RNA is filed under the name Pachydactylus weberi. Its description in RNAcentral is "partial 16S ribosomal RNA". It matches the Rfam family "Bacterial large subunit ribosomal RNA", at positions 1957 to 2547 of the family's 2925-position model. Lineage: Eukaryota; Metazoa; Chordata; Lepidosauria; Squamata; Gekkonidae. The record is from RNAcentral.